GGAUUCGUUGCCCGAAAAGGGAACCUGCACACAGGUGCUGCAUGGCUGUCGUCAGCUCGUGUCGUGAGAUGUUGGGUUAAGUCCCGCAACGAGCGCAACCCUUGCCAUUAGUUGCUACGAAAGGGCACUCUAAUGGGACUGCCGGUGACAAACCGGAGGAAGGUGGGGAUGACGUCAAGUCCUCAUGGCCCUUAUAGGUGGGGCUACACACGUCAUACAAUGGCUGGUACAGAGGGUUGCCAACCCGCGAGGGGGAGCUAAUCCCAUAAAGCCAGUCGUAGUCCGGAUCGCAGUCUGCAACUCGACUGCGUGAAGUCGGAAUCGCUAGUAAUCCCGGAUCAGAAUGUCGCGGUGAAUACGUUCCCGGGUCUUGUACACACCGCCCGUCACACCAUGGGAGCGGGUUCUGCCAGAAGUAGGGAGCGUUUGUUCAUGGAUCAGAUUUAGCGCUGGAGGCAUUC
Molecule: ribosomal RNA, 461 nt
Filed under: bacterium HPC756
Lineage: Bacteria
Description: bacterial SSU rRNA
Rfam family: Bacterial small subunit ribosomal RNA
Source: RNAcentral